Molecule: ribosomal RNA, 305 nt
Filed under: uncultured bacterium
Lineage: Bacteria
Description: bacterial SSU rRNA
Rfam family: Bacterial small subunit ribosomal RNA
Source: RNAcentral
CCUACGGGAGGCAGCAGUGGGGAAUAUUGCACAAUGGGGGAAACCCUGAUGCAGCAACGCCGCGUGAAGGAAGACGGUUUUCGGAUUGUAAACUUCUGUUCUUAGUGAAGAAAAAUGACGGUAGAUAAGGAGGAAGCCCCGGCUAACUACGUGCCAGCAGCCGCGGUAAUACGUAGGGGGCGAGCGUUGUCCGGAAUCACUGGGCGUAAAGGGCGCGGAGGCGGUUUAAUAAGUCAGUGGUGAAAACUGAGGGCUCAACCCUCAGCCUGCCACUGAUACUGUUAGACUUGAGGAUGGAAGAGGAG